Molecule: non-coding RNA, 45 nt
Filed under: Schistosoma mansoni
Lineage: Eukaryota; Metazoa; Platyhelminthes; Trematoda; Strigeidida; Schistosomatidae
Source: RNAcentral
AUUCAGCUGACCAGUCCCAAAUAGGACGAAGCAUUCGUCGUGGAU